This is a non-coding RNA of Arachis ipaensis, 1167 nucleotides long. The record is from RefSeq and is a predicted model, not a curated record. Lineage: Eukaryota; Viridiplantae; Streptophyta; Magnoliopsida; Fabales; Fabaceae.
GAUACUAAAUUCUGGACGGCUUAAUGGACUGGUGACAAUGAUCGUAACGUGUUUGAGGUGUAGACACAUUCAAAGAAGGUUGGUGUUAAUCUUGGAAGGCAUACUUGUACCUGCAAUAUGUGGCAAUUGACAGUUAAUUCUUUUGUAGGAAUACCAUGUGUUCAUGCAUUAGCAGCUAUUCAAAAGAGGUGUGAUAGGCCAGAACUAUAUGUGCAUCCUUGGCUAAAGAUGGAUGCAUUUAGAGCAACCUAUGAGCAUGUCAUGAAACCUGUCAACUCAAAAGAGUAUUGGGUGAAGACUGGACUACUAUCUCCAGAGCCACCCAUCAUUAGGAGACCUGCAGGCUGCCCCACGAAGAAAAAAAGGAAGGCGGACCCUGUUGAAGACGCGCGUGAUGGAACAAAAGGACGACGAACAUUCAAGGUUACCUGUCAAAAAUGUGGCGAAUCUGGCCACAAUGCAAAAACAUGCAAGGGACCACCAAGGCCUAAACCCCCACCAAAGAAUAAAGGUAAAAAAAAAAGGGUAAUGAAAAUGGAUCCACCAUUGCAGCAGGGUCACAGGAAGAAGUACAAAUAACCCUAUCAGCCCCUUAACCACAGCCACAGGAGCAAACUACUAACUCAUCCAACCAAGUUGCAUCAACAAUAAGUUUUAGGCCUCCAAGACCCAAACAACAAAUUCUGAGACCUCAUGUAGCUCCGGUCACUGCCCCAACACCUCCUAUAAAGCUUGUUUUGGCUCCAAGACCUUUACCUCCACCAACUUUAACUCUUCCACCUACAGCCCCAUUUGCUCCAGUGCCUAGGUCACUCCAUCCGAAUCAGAUACCAAGAAUCUCUCCGGUUGCUGCUACAAGCUCUGGAACUGCUGCCAGAAUAUUCAAGUUCAUGCCUACACCAGGACUCAACCUCCAAAAGAAGAAAUGAUAUUGCUCUAUGAUAUCAUGCUGAUUGUAGUUAUGUUGUUUAGUUUAUUAAGACCCUUUUGUAACAGAUUAUGGUUAUGUAGUGCAUUUAUGCAACUUUGAGCUAUGCUUUUGGAAUGUAUCUUUGAUGCUAGCAACAGAUAUAAACUAGCUAGGAGUAAGUUUUUUGUUGGAAUAUUUAGAACUUUGAUGCUUGAUUUCAAAUAUAUGAAAUUAUGGUUAUUAGACUAUUUUGAUAA